Molecule: ribosomal RNA, 1552 nt
Filed under: Citrobacter sp. RHB25-C09
Lineage: Bacteria; Pseudomonadati; Pseudomonadota; Gammaproteobacteria; Enterobacterales; Enterobacteriaceae
Description: bacterial SSU rRNA
Rfam family: Bacterial small subunit ribosomal RNA
Source: RNAcentral
AAAUUGAAGAGUUUGAUCAUGGCUCAGAUUGAACGCUGGCGGCAGGCCUAACACAUGCAAGUCGAACGGUAACAGGAAGCAGCUUGCUGCUUUGCUGACGAGUGGCGGACGGGUGAGUAAUGUCUGGGAAACUGCCCGAUGGAGGGGGAUAACUACUGGAAACGGUAGCUAAUACCGCAUAACGUCGCAAGACCAAAGAGGGGGACCUUCGGGCCUCUUGCCAUCGGAUGUGCCCAGAUGGGAUUAGCUUGUUGGUGAGGUAACGGCUCACCAAGGCGACGAUCCCUAGCUGGUCUGAGAGGAUGACCAGCCACACUGGAACUGAGACACGGUCCAGACUCCUACGGGAGGCAGCAGUGGGGAAUAUUGCACAAUGGGCGCAAGCCUGAUGCAGCCAUGCCGCGUGUAUGAAGAAGGCCUUCGGGUUGUAAAGUACUUUCAGCGGGGAGGAAGGUGUUGAGGUUAAUAACCUCAGCAAUUGACGUUACCCGCAGAAGAAGCACCGGCUAACUCCGUGCCAGCAGCCGCGGUAAUACGGAGGGUGCAAGCGUUAAUCGGAAUUACUGGGCGUAAAGCGCACGCAGGCGGUCUGUCAAGUCGGAUGUGAAAUCCCCGGGCUCAACCUGGGAACUGCAUUCGAAACUGGCAGGCUAGAGUCUUGUAGAGGGGGGUAGAAUUCCAGGUGUAGCGGUGAAAUGCGUAGAGAUCUGGAGGAAUACCGGUGGCGAAGGCGGCCCCCUGGACAAAGACUGACGCUCAGGUGCGAAAGCGUGGGGAGCAAACAGGAUUAGAUACCCUGGUAGUCCACGCCGUAAACGAUGUCGACUUGGAGGUUGUGCCCUUGAGGCGUGGCUUCCGGAGCUAACGCGUUAAGUCGACCGCCUGGGGAGUACGGCCGCAAGGUUAAAACUCAAAUGAAUUGACGGGGGCCCGCACAAGCGGUGGAGCAUGUGGUUUAAUUCGAUGCAACGCGAAGAACCUUACCUGGUCUUGACAUCCACAGAAGAAUCCAGAGAUGGAUUUGUGCCUUCGGGAACUGUGAGACAGGUGCUGCAUGGCUGUCGUCAGCUCGUGUUGUGAAAUGUUGGGUUAAGUCCCGCAACGAGCGCAACCCUUAUCCUUUGUUGCCAGCGGUCCGGCCGGGAACUCAAAGGAGACUGCCAGUGAUAAACUGGAGGAAGGUGGGGAUGACGUCAAGUCAUCAUGGCCCUUACGACCAGGGCUACACACGUGCUACAAUGGCAUAUACAAAGAGAAGCGACCUCGCGAGAGCAAGCGGACCUCAUAAAGUAUGUCGUAGUCCGGAUUGGAGUCUGCAACUCGACUCCAUGAAGUCGGAAUCGCUAGUAAUCGUGGAUCAGAAUGCCACGGUGAAUACGUUCCCGGGCCUUGUACACACCGCCCGUCACACCAUGGGAGUGGGUUGCAAAAGAAGUAGGUAGCUUAACCUUCGGGAGGGCGCUUACCACUUUGUGAUUCAUGACUGGGGUGAAGUCGUAACAAGGUAACCGUAGGGGAACCUGCGGUUGGAUCACCUCCUUACCUUAAAGAA